UUGGAGGGCAAGUCUGGUGCCAGCAGCCGCGGUAAUUCCAGCUCCAAUAGCGUAUAUUAAAGUUGUUGUAGUUAAAAAGCUCGUAGUUAAAUUUCGGGGUUAGUAGGUUGGUCAUGCCUCUGGUAUGUACUGGUCUCACUGAUUCCACCUUCCUGAUGAACCUUAAUGCCAUUAAUUUGGUGUUUUGGGGAAUUUGGACUGUUACUUUGAAAAAAUUAGAGUGUUUAAGCAAGCUAACGCUUGAAUACAUUAGCAUGGAAUAAUGAAAUAGGACGUUCGAUCCUAUUUUGUUGGUUUCUAGGAUUGACGUAAUGAUUAAUAGGGAUAGUUGGGGGCAUUAGUAUUCAAUUGUCAGAGGUGAAAUUCUUGGAUUUAUUGAAGACUAACUACUGCGAAAGCAUUUGCCAAGGAUGUUUUCAUUAAUCAAGAACGAAAGUUAGGGGAUCGAAGACGAUCAGAUACCGUCGUAGUCUUAACCAUAAACUAUGCCGACUAGGGAUCGGAUGAUGUUAAUUUUUUAAUGACUCAUUCGGCGCCUUACGGGAAAC
RNAcentral lists this ribosomal RNA (548 nucleotides) under uncultured Glomus. RNAcentral's name for it is "SSU rRNA". It matches the Rfam family "Eukaryotic small subunit ribosomal RNA", at positions 548 to 1098 of the family's 1831-position model. Lineage: Eukaryota; Fungi; Glomeromycota; Glomeromycetes; Glomerales; Glomeraceae. The record is from RNAcentral.